This 412-nucleotide ribosomal RNA is filed under the name Lacticaseibacillus casei. Its description in RNAcentral is "bacterial SSU rRNA". It matches the Rfam family "Bacterial small subunit ribosomal RNA", at positions 80 to 453 of the family's 1533-position model. Lineage: Bacteria; Bacillati; Bacillota; Bacilli; Lactobacillales; Lactobacillaceae. The record is from RNAcentral.
GAGGGCUGCACUUGAUUUAUUUUGACGAGGGCGGACGGGNGAGUACACGGGGGGUACCCUGCCCCUUAAGGUGGGGGGAUAACAUUUGGAAACAGAUGCCUAAUCCGCCAUAAAUCCAAGAACCGCAUGGGUUCUUGGCCUGAAAGAUGGCGGUAAGCCUAUCUGCCUUUUGGAUGGACCCGCGGCGUAUUAACCUAGUUGGUGAGGUAACCGGCCUCUACCCAAGGCAAUGAUACGUAGCCCGAACCUGARAGGUUGAUCAGGCCACAUUGGGACCUGAWACACGGCCCAAACUCCUACGGGAGGCAGCAGUAGGGAAUCWUUCCACAAUGGACGCAAGUCUGAUGGARCAACGCCSCGUGAGUGAAGAAGGCUUUCGGGUCGUAAAACUCUGUUGUUGGARAAAAUGGUC